GAUCCUGGCUCAGAACGAACGCUGGCGGCAGGCUUAACACAUGCAAGUCGAGCGAGAACACCUUCGGGUGUUAUUAAAGCGGCAGACGGGUGAGUAACACGUGGGAACCUACCCUUUUACGGAAUAACGCAUGGAAACGUGUGCUAAUACCGUAUACGCCUCCCUUUGGUAAGCAGGGAGGGAAAGAUUUAUCGCUAAAGGAUGGGCCCGCGCCAGAUUAGCUAGUUGGUGGGAACUGCCUACCAAGGCAACGAUCUGUAGCUGGUUUGAGAGGAUGAUCAGCCACAUUGGCUGAGACACGGCCCGGACUCCUACGGGAGGCAGCAGUGGGGAAUAUUGCACAAUGGGCAAGCCUGAUGCAGCCAUGCCGCGUGAGUGAUGACGGUCUUAGGAUUGUAAAGCUCUUUCUGGUGAAGAUAAUGACGGUAACCAGUAAAGAAGCCCCGGCUAACUCCGUGCCAGCAGGCGGUAAUACGGAGGGGGCUAGCGUUGUUCGGAAUUACUGGGCGUAAAGCGUACGUAGGGAUUGAUCAGUUGGGGGUGAAAUCCCAGGGCUUAACCCUGGAACUGCCUUCAAUACUCAGUCUUGAGUCCGGAAGAGGUGAGUGGAAUUCCUGGUGUAGAGGUGAAAUUCAUAGAUCAGGAGGAACACCAGUGGCGAAGGCGGCUCACUGGUCCGGUACUGACGCUGAGGUACAAGCGUGGGGAGCAAACAGGAUUAGAUACCCUGGUAGUCCACGCCGUAAACGAUGAAUCAGCUGUCGGGCAGUAUACUGUUCGGUGGCGCAGCUAACGCAUUAAGCAUUCCGCCUGGAGUACGGUCGCAAGAUUAAAACUCAAAGGAAUUGACGGGGGCCCGCACAAGCGGUGGCAUGUGGUUUAAUUCGAGGGCACGCGAAGAACCUUACCGGCCCUUGACAUUUAGUGACCCCAGGAGACUGGGCUUUCCUUCGGGACACUAGGACAGGUGCUGCACGGCUGUCGUCAUCGUGUCGUGAGAUGUUCGGUUAAGUCCGGCAACGAGCGCAACCCCUGCUUUUAGUUGAGCAUUCAGUUGGGCACUCUAGAUGGACUGCCGGUGAUAAGCCGGAGGAAGGUGGGGAACGUCAAGUCAUCAUGGCCCUUACGGGCCGGGCUACACACGUGCUACAAUGGCGGUGAGUGGGCAGCUACCUCGCGAGAGGAUGCUAAUCCCCAAAAACCGUCUCAGUUCGAAUUGCUCUGCAACUCGAGUGCAUGAAGUUGGAAUCGCUAGUAAUCGUGGAUCAGCAUGCCACUGAAUACGUUCCCGGGCCUUGUACACACCGCCCGUCACACCAUGGGAGUUGGUUUUACGAAGCCGGUGCGCUAACUUUUGAGGCAGCCGACCACGGUAGGGUCAGCGACUGGGGUG
Molecule: ribosomal RNA, 1393 nt
Filed under: uncultured bacterium
Lineage: Bacteria
Description: bacterial SSU rRNA
Rfam family: Bacterial small subunit ribosomal RNA
Source: RNAcentral